GUGAAUCAUCAAAUUUUUGAACGCAAAUUGCACUCUCUUCGGAGAGUAUGCCUGUUUGAGGGUCAGCCUAAAAAAAAAACCGACAUAGUCGCUGUUUCGCGGUGACAUUCGUCUGAAAUUGGGUCAUCUUAAACUUUUGGUUUUUAUUCGUCUUAAAAUUUUCUUUUCGAUUCCACGACCGUUUUUAAUAUUUAUUUUUUAUACUUUUA
RNAcentral lists this unclassified non-coding RNA (209 nucleotides) under Glomus sp. Its description in RNAcentral is "partial contains 5.8S ribosomal RNA and internal transcribed spacer 2". The stretch from base 1 to 65 matches the Rfam family "5.8S ribosomal RNA", at positions 84 to 154 of the family's 154-position model. Lineage: Eukaryota; Fungi; Glomeromycota; Glomeromycetes; Glomerales; Glomeraceae. The record is from RNAcentral.